Molecule: long non-coding RNA, 344 nt
Organism: Homo sapiens (human)
Lineage: Eukaryota; Metazoa; Chordata; Mammalia; Primates; Hominidae
Gene: NALCN-AS1
Product: NALCN antisense RNA 1
Source: RefSeq, marked validated
CAAGCUGACUUCUCAAGCUCUGGGGAUGCCUCAGUGAUCUCUGAUGUGGAAUUAGUGGAGGCUGGCCGUUGCUCACCUCUACACAGCCUGCUGGUCGUUAGCGAGCAGGAGUUCUGAUGUUCCUCUCAUCUUGGAUGUCUUUCCUAGGAGAAUAUUUCUCACGUGUUUGACAGAAAACAUUAUCUGUCCAUCAUUUCCAUGGAUUCCUGGGUCUCACGGGCAGAAGGACAAGGCAGAUAUGAGGCGGAUCUGGUAAAACCAUAAACACCAUGAGAUCAGAGCAUCCAUCUGUAGACUCACAGAGCAAGAAGCGUGACUGCCCCAAUCUUGAAUGGAUGAGUAAG